Molecule: ribosomal RNA, 1439 nt
Filed under: uncultured organism
Description: partial small subunit ribosomal RNA
Rfam family: Bacterial small subunit ribosomal RNA
Source: RNAcentral
CUGGCGGCGUGCUUAACACAUGCAAGUCGAACGGAAAGGCCCUGCUUUUGUGGGGUGCUCGAGUGGCGAACGGGUGAGUAACACGUGAGUAACCUGCCCUUGACUUUGGGAUAACUUCAGGAAACUGGGGCUAAUACCGGAUAGGAGCUCCUGCUGCAUGGUGGGGGUUGGAAAGUUUCGGCGGUUGGGGAUGGACUCGCGGCUUAUCAGCUUGUUGGUGGGGUAGUGGCUUACCAAGGCUUUGACGGGUAGCCGGCCUGAGAGGGUGACCGGCCACAUUGGGACUGAGAUACGGCCCAGACUCCUACGGGAGGCAGCAGUGGGGAAUAUUGCACAAUGGGCGGAAGCCUGAUGCAGCAACGCCGCGUGCGGGAUGACGGCCUUCGGGUUGUAAACCGCUUUCGCCUGUGACGAAGCGUGAGUGACGGUAAUGGGUAAAGAAGCACCGGCUAACUACGUGCCAGCAGCCGCGGUGAUACGUAGGGUGCGAGCGUUGUCCGGAUUUAUUGGGCGUAAAGGGCUCGUAGGUGGUUGAUCGCGUCGGAAGUGUAAUCUUGGGGCUUAACCCUGAGCGUGCUUUCGAUACGGGUUGACUUGAGGAAGGUAGGGGAGAAUGGAAUUCCUGGUGGAGCGGUGGAAUGCGCAGAUAUCAGGAGGAACACCAGUGGCGAAGGCGGUUCUCUGGGCCUUUCCUGACGCUGAGGAGCGAAAGCGUGGGGAGCGAACAGGCUUAGAUACCCUGGUAGUCCACGCUGUAAACGGUGGGUACUAGGUGUGGGGUCCAUUCCACGGGUUCCGUGCCGUAGCUAACGCUUUAAGUACCCCGCCUGGGGAGUACGGCCGCAAGGCUAAAACUCAAAGGAAUUGACGGGGCCCCGCACAAGCGGCGGAGCAUGCGGAUUAAUUCGAUGCAACGCGUAGAACCUUACCUGGGUUUGACAUGGAUCGGGAGUGCUCAGAGAUGGGUGUGCCUCUUUUGGGGUCGGUUCACAGGUGGUGCAUGGCUGUCGUCAGCUCGUGUCGUGAGAUGUUGGGUUAAGUCCCGCAACGAGCGCAACCCUUGUUCACUGUUGCCAGCACGUUAUGGUGGGGACUCAGUGGAGACCGCCGGGGUCAACUCGGAGGAAGGUGGGGAUGACGUCAAGUCAUCAUGCCCCUUAUGUCCAGGGCUUCACGCAUGCUACAAUGGCUGGUACAGAGAGUGGCGAGCCUGUGAGGGUGAGCGAAUCUCGGAAAGCCGGUCUCAGUUCGGAUUGGGGUCUGCAACUCGACCUCAUGAAGUCGGAGUCGCUAGUAAUCGCAGAUCAGCAACGCUGCGGUGAAUACGUUCCCGGGGCUUGUACACACCGCCCGUCAAGUCAUGAAAGUUGGUAACACCCGAAGCCGGUGGCCUAACCGUUGUGGGGGAGCCGUCGAAGGUGGGACUGGUGAUUAGGACU